RNAcentral lists this transfer RNA (68 nucleotides) under Marmota monax (woodchuck). RNAcentral describes it as "tRNA.Ala". The stretch from base 5 to 65 matches the Rfam family "tRNA", at positions 6 to 65 of the family's 71-position model. Rfam says of the family: Transfer RNA (tRNA) molecules are approximately 80 nucleotides in length. Their secondary structure includes four short double-helical elements and three loops (D, anti-codon, and T loops). Lineage: Eukaryota; Metazoa; Chordata; Mammalia; Rodentia; Sciuridae. The record is from RNAcentral.
GGACUGUGGCUCAGUGGUAGAGCACUUGCCUAGCAUGCAUGAGACACUGAGUUCGAUCCCCAGCACUA